AAAGGGAGACCUAAUUCGGGUAUAAGACGAAAAAAUAGUAGUCGAAACCAAGAAUCAAUCCCAAAAGGUCGGAACGAGGUAUGUGGCUUUCAAACUAGGUUCUGGGUUCAUAAAAGACCUGAAUCAGGAACAAGGGCUAUUAGCUCAGGUGGUUAGAGCGCACCCCUGAUAAGGGUGAGGUCCCUGGUUCGAGUCCAGGAUGGCCCACCUGCACAGGUGGCAAAGACAAAGAAAAGAAGCGAGGAAUCAGCACCUUAUCUUACUUAUAUAGUAAGAGAGAAUGCUGGCUCUGAGUACAGAGUCCAGAGGAACCUUGAAAACUGCAUAGAGCUAGGUGAAAAAGCCAAAAAAGAAGACCGCAAG
RNAcentral lists this transfer RNA (363 nucleotides) under uncultured Microcystis sp. Its description in RNAcentral is "partial 16S-23S ribosomal RNA intergenic spacer". The stretch from base 134 to 207 matches the Rfam family "tRNA". Lineage: Bacteria; Bacillati; Cyanobacteriota; Cyanophyceae; Chroococcales; Microcystaceae. The record is from RNAcentral.